Molecule: ribosomal RNA, 520 nt
Filed under: uncultured Glomeromycotina
Lineage: Eukaryota; Fungi; Glomeromycota
Description: SSU rRNA
Rfam family: Eukaryotic small subunit ribosomal RNA
Source: RNAcentral
GGCAGCCGCGGUAAUUCCAGCUCCAAUAGCGUAUAUUAAAGUUGUUGCAGUUAAAAAGCUCGUAGUUGAAUUUCGGGAUUAGUACGCUGGUCAUGCCUUUGGUAUGUACUGGUGUUACUGAUUUCUACCUUCUGAAGAACCGUUAUGUCAUUCAUUUGGUGUGGCGGGGAAUCAGGACUGUUACUUUGAAAAAAUUAGAGUGUUUAAAGCAGGCUCGCGCUUGAAUACAUUAGCAUGGAAUAAUGAAAUAGGACGUUGAUCCUAUUUUGUUGGUUUCUAGGAUUGACGUAAUGAUUAAUAGGGAUAGUUGGGGGCAUUAGUAUUCAAUUGUCAGAGGUGAAAUUCUUGGAUUUAUUGAAGACUAACUACUGCGAAAGCAUUUGCCAAGGAUGUUUUCAUUAAUCAAGAACGAAAGUUAGGGGAUCGAAGACGAUCAGAUACCGUCGUAGUCUUAACCAUAAACUAUGCCGACUAGGGAUCGGAUGAUGUUAAUUUUUUAAUGUACUCAUUCGGCGCCUUA